This 391-nucleotide ribosomal RNA is filed under the name uncultured bacterium. RNAcentral's name for it is "bacterial SSU rRNA". It matches the Rfam family "Bacterial small subunit ribosomal RNA", at positions 28 to 412 of the family's 1533-position model. The record is from RNAcentral.
GACGAACGCUGGCGGCGUGCUUAACACAUGCAAGUCGAACGAGGUCCACCGCGUAGCAAUACAAGGGAAGACCUAGUGGCGAACGGGUGCGUAACACGUGAGGAACUUGUCCCGGUCUCUGGGAUAACAGUUGGAAACGACUGCUAAUACCGGAUGACGUCGGAAUCUCGCAUGGGAUACUGACGAAAGGGUUACUGGAUCGGGAGAGCCUCGCGGCCUAUCAGCUUGUUGGUGAGGUAACGGCUCACCAAGGCAUCGACGGGUAGCUGGUCUGAGAGGAUGAUCAGCCACACUGGGACUGAGACACGGCCCAGACUCCUACGGGAGGCAGCAGUGGGAAUCUUGCGCAAUGGGCGAAAGCCUGACGCAGCAACGCCGCGUGCGGGAAGAA